RNAcentral lists this ribosomal RNA (444 nucleotides) under uncultured bacterium. RNAcentral describes it as "SSU rRNA". It matches the Rfam family "Bacterial small subunit ribosomal RNA", at positions 26 to 518 of the family's 1533-position model. The record is from RNAcentral.
AGAGCGAACGCUGGCGGCAGGCCUAACACAUGCAAGUCGAGCGCCCCGCAAGGGGAGCGGCAGACGGGAGAGUAACACGUGGGAACGUACCCUUUGGUUCGGAACAACACAGGGAAACUUGUGCUAAUACCGGAUAAGCCCUUACGGGGAAAGAUUUAUUGCCAAAGGAUCGGCCCGCGUCUGAUUAGCUUGUUGGUGAGGUAACGGCUCACCAAGGCUACGAUCAGUAGCUGGUCUGAGAGGAUGAUCAGCCUCACUGGGACUGAGACACGGCCCAGAUUCCUACGGGAGGCAGCAGUGGGGAAUAUUGGACAAUGGGCGCAAGCCUGAUCCAGCCAUGCCGCGUGGAUGAUGAAGGCCCUAGGGUUGUAAAGUCCUUUCGACGGGGAAGAUAAUGACGGUACCCGUAGAAGAAGCCCCGGCUAACUUCGUGCCAGCAGCCGC